AUUUAUGCCAUUUAUCAAUACUUAUAUAAGGAGUUGCUUGGCCGAUCAUUUCUUCAUACAAUUCAUUUUUUCAUUUGUUUCAAAUACUUUCUCUUCUCUCUAGAUUGUUCUUCCUUCAAGCUACUUUAACUUUGAUUCUUUGAAUAAUUUCUAGAAUGUAUUUUGUUUGUAUUUGUAAAGCUUUUGUUAAUAAGAAAUAAAUGUAUUGAUUAUUGGUUUAUACAUGGUAUCAGAGCCAAAUCUUGGGUUCUGUGGUUUGUUCAAUAUGUGAAGAGCCUCUCUCCAUCUUCAUCUCUAUAUUCAAGAUCGUCUCAGGACUAUAUCUGUCAAAUGCAUAAAACUGGGUGUAUCAAGUACGAGGACUACGCCUCGCUUAUGGGGAAACAUGAAGGGUAGUGGAGCAAAUUUCCAGAAUCUAGAAGGACCAUUUCUGCCAUUUCUCAAUACUUAUAUAAAGAGUUUCUUGGCCGUUCAUUUCUUCAUACAAUUCAUUUUUUCAUUUGUUUCAAAUACUUUCUCUUAUCUCUAUAUUAUUCUUCCUUCAAGCUACUUUAGCUUUGAUUCUUUGAAUAAUUUCUGUAAUGUAUUUUGUUUGUAUUUGUAAAUCUUUUGUUAAUAAGAAAUAAAUGUAUCGAUUAUUGGUUUCUA
Long non-coding RNA from Cynara cardunculus var. scolymus (artichoke), 648 nucleotides. RefSeq lists it as uncharacterized. The transcript has 2 exons. Lineage: Eukaryota; Viridiplantae; Streptophyta; Magnoliopsida; Asterales; Asteraceae. The record is from RefSeq and is a predicted model, not a curated record.